This 1335-nucleotide ribosomal RNA is filed under the name uncultured bacterium. RNAcentral describes it as "bacterial SSU rRNA". It matches the Rfam family "Bacterial small subunit ribosomal RNA", at positions 28 to 1381 of the family's 1533-position model. The record is from RNAcentral.
GACGAACGCUGGCGGCGUGCUUAACACAUGCAAGUCGAGCGGUAAGGCCCUUCGGGGUACACGAGCGGCGAACGGGUGAGUAACACGUGAGCAAUCUGCCCUUCUCUUUGGAAUAACCAUUGGAAACGAUGGCUAAUGCCGAAUAUGAACCCCCUUCGCAUGUUGGGGGUUGGAAAGCUCCGGCGGAGAUGGAUGAGCUCGCGGCCUAUCAGCUUGUUGGUGAGGUAAUGGCUCACCAAGGCAUUGACGGGUAGCCGGCCUGAGAGGGUGACCGGCCACACUGGGACUGAGACACGGCCCAGACUCCUACGGGAGGCAGCAGUGGGGAAUAUUGGACAAUGGGCGAAAGCCUGAUCCAGCAACGCCGCGUGAGGGAUGACGGCCUUCGGGUUGUAAACCUCUUUCAGCAGGGACGAAGCGAGAGUGACGGUACCUGCAGAAGAAGGACCGGCCAACUACGUGCCAGCAGCCGCGGUAAUACGUAGGGUCCGAGCGUUGUCCGGAAUUAUUGGGCGUAAAGGGCUCGUAGGCGGUUUGUCGCGUCGGGAGUGAAAACUCAGGGCUCAACCCUGAGCGUGCUUCCGAUACGGGCAGACUAGAGGUAUUCAGGGGAGAACGGAAUUCCUGGUGUAGCGGUGGAAUGCGCAGAUAUCAGGAGGAACACCGGUGGCGAAGGCGGUUCUCUGGGAAUUACCUGACGCUGAGGAGCGAAAGCAUGGGGAGCGAACAGGAUUAGAUACCCUGGUAGUCCAUGCCGUAAACGUUGGGCGCUAGGUGUGGGGACCUUCCACGGUUUCCGUGCCGCAGCUAACGCAUUAAGCGCCCCGCCUGGGGAGUACGGCCGCAAGGCUAAAACUCAAAGGAAUUGACGGGGGCCCGCACAAGCGGCGGAGCAUGCUGAUUAAUUCGAUGCAACGCGAAGAACCUUACCUGGGUUUGACAUAUGCCGGAAAGCUGCAGAGAUGUGGCCUCCUUUUGGCCGGUAUACAGGUGGUGCAUGGCUGUCGUCAGCUCGUGUCGUGAGAUGUUGGGUUAAGUCCCGCAACGAGCGCAACCCUCGUUCUAUGUUGCCAGCACGUUAUGGUGGGGACUCAUAGGAGACUGCCGGGGUCAACUCGGAGGAAGGUGGGGAUGACGUCAAGUCUUCAUGCCCCUUAUGUCCAGGGCUUCAAGCAUGCUACAAUGGCCGGUACAAAGGGCUGCGAAACUGUAAGGUGGAGCGAAUCCCAAAAAGCCGGUCUCAGUUCGGAUUGGGGUCUGCAACUCGACCCCAUGAAGUCGGAGUCGCUAGUAAUCGCAGAUCAGCAACGCUGCGGUGAAUACGUUCCCGGGCCU